GGAAGUGAAAGUCGUAACAAGGUCUCCGUUGGUGAACCAGCGGAGGGAUCAUUACCGAGUUUACAACUCCCAAACCCAAUGUGAACCAUACCAAACUGUUGCCUCGGCGGGGUCACGCCCCGGGUGCGUCGCAGCCCCGGAACCAGGCGCCCGCCGGAGGGACCAACCAAACUCUUUCUGUAGUCCCCUCGCGGACGUUAUUUUUACAGCUCUGAGCAAAAAUUCAAAAUGAAUCAAAACUUUCAACAACGGAUCUCUUGGUUCUG
This 266-nucleotide unclassified non-coding RNA is filed under the name plant metagenome. RNAcentral's name for it is "partial contains small subunit ribosomal RNA, internal transcribed spacer 1, and 5.8S ribosomal RNA". The stretch from base 1 to 54 matches the Rfam family "Eukaryotic small subunit ribosomal RNA", at positions 1778 to 1831 of the family's 1831-position model. The record is from RNAcentral.